RNAcentral lists this unclassified non-coding RNA (255 nucleotides) under plant metagenome. Its description in RNAcentral is "partial contains small subunit ribosomal RNA, internal transcribed spacer 1, and 5.8S ribosomal RNA". The stretch from base 1 to 54 matches the Rfam family "Eukaryotic small subunit ribosomal RNA", at positions 1778 to 1831 of the family's 1831-position model. The record is from RNAcentral.
GGAAGUAAAAGCCGUAACAAGGUUUCCGUAGGUGAACCUGCGGAAGGAUCAUUAUUGGAUUUUGAAACUUCAGGCUGCUGCUGGCUCUCCUCGGAGGGCAUGUGCACGCUUGUUGUCCAUUAUUUCUCCCACUGUGCACAAAUUGUAGACCUUUCAGUAGGCCUAUGUUGUUUUUCACAAUCUCUGAAUGUAAUAGAAUGGUUUUGAAUCUUGGGAAAUACAAUACAACUUUCAGCAACGGAUCUCUUGGCUCUC